This 48-nucleotide non-coding RNA is filed under the name Schistosoma margrebowiei. Lineage: Eukaryota; Metazoa; Platyhelminthes; Trematoda; Strigeidida; Schistosomatidae. The record is from RNAcentral.
AUCCAACUGACGAGUCCUGGAUAGGACGAAACGCGCAUCAAACUAGAU